CCUACGGGUGGCAGCAGUGAGGAAUAUUGGUCACUGGCCGGAAGGCUGAACCAGCCAUGUCGCGUGAAGGUCAGUGCCCUAUUGGCGUUAAACUUCUUUUGUGCGGGAGCAAUAAUUGUCACGUGUGGCCAGACGAGAGUACCGUACGCAUAAGCAUCGGCUAACUCCGGGCCAGCAGCCGCGGUAAUGCGCGGAAUGCAAGCGUUAUCCGGGUUUAUUGGGUUUAAAGGGUGCGUAGGCUGUGAGGUAAGUCAGCGGUGAAAUGCCCCCGCUCAACGGGGUGAAGUGCCAUUGAUACUGCCUUGCUAGAGUGCGGAUGCCGUGGGAGGAAUGUGUGGUGUAGCGGUGAAAUGCAUAGAUAU
Molecule: ribosomal RNA, 362 nt
Filed under: uncultured bacterium
Lineage: Bacteria
Description: partial 16S ribosomal RNA
Rfam family: Bacterial small subunit ribosomal RNA
Source: RNAcentral